Non-coding RNA from Prunus avium (sweet cherry), 1353 nucleotides. Lineage: Eukaryota; Viridiplantae; Streptophyta; Magnoliopsida; Rosales; Rosaceae. The record is from RefSeq and is a predicted model, not a curated record.
GCCACCUUCUCAUCUCCAUAACCACCCAACCACGCACCACCUUCGGCCAACCUGACUGGCCAAGCCCUCGCCGCCACCCCAGCGACCCAACCCUACGCCAGCCGCCGUAUGAAGCGCCGGAUUCCGCCGAAACCAGCCGCAGAAUAUCGCGUCAGUUUUGACAGAUUUUCUAACCUCUUGGUCUCCCUCCUCCGACCACCAAAUCAAGCGAGUGAGGUAUGGAUUUCUAACUAUUUUCCACGAUCUAGCUUAUGGUUAGGUAGGUUUUCAGAGAUUUUAAGUUUUGAUAGGUUAAUUGUCGAGUUGAGUUUCUGCCGGUUUUGAGAGCUCAGUUUCAGCCACGUCCAGCCACUUUUUGGCCAUAGUCCAAGAACAAAAGUGGUUCCAAAUUAGGUGUUUUACCUCGGAUAGGUGUUUGGGCUCGUGGUUUGGAGAUUUUCCGACCACUGGAAUUUUCUUUACACACCCAUGCGCUGCCGGCACGUGGGCAGCGCAUGGGCCAGGUAGCAGGGACCACCCUUGGUCCCAGAAUGAUCCUCGUGUCCUCAUGAGCGCGUAGAAAUUCACGGAUCUCAAUUCGGAUAACGUUUGGACCCCAAACGGAUCUCGCAUAGUGUGUGAUUUCCAAGUUCAAAGCGUUCAGACCGUAGGAUCGUAGUCAAACUGGAGUAUGUGGUUCUAGGUAAUUUCAGGAUCGUGUAGGAUUCGACGUAUCGUCAAUCGGAGUCCUGGGUACUCCGAAAAGGCCAACCCUAGGGCUAGGAUUACAGAAAAUCGUUCAUCCGUCCGAUCGUGCGAUCGUGAGUAAUCCGACCUUCCGAUUGAGACCAAACUCUCAGGACAUGUGUCCUAGGCAUAGUGGGACCUCUAGGAACGAUCGGAUCAGAAUUCUGAGGUCGUGGACCCCACGGGGUCCCGAGUUGACUUUUUGGGACUUUAUCGCUUUUGAAUCCCGAGUUACUACUAAAUCAUGUCCAUUGAGAGGAAAGUUAAUGCGAGCAUAGGAAUGACCUUUAAAAGAUAUGCACGCACUGUUAGGAGCUGGGGGUCAGGGUUUUUAUCUUAAUAUUAUAUUAUUGAGCAGAGUUAUUAAUAAAGAGUAUGAUGGUUAUUCAGGCAUCCGGGCACAAGGUGACCCACAGGAGGGACCUUCAAAAGGGUCCAGCUAGCUCAAAGCAUCUGCAGUGGUCGUGCGUCAGUGCGCCACAACCGGGCCGAGACCUUCUUCCGCUACGUCUUUUGCCAAUGUAGGGUUUUGUUUAGUUGUGAUAAUUUGUAAUCUACUCUGUAUAGAUGCUCUGUUAUUGCCCUAUAACACUUGUCUAACUGUUGGUAUGUAAUUAGUUGUAUGCU